Pelobates cultripes (western spadefoot toad) is the source of this 113-nucleotide non-coding RNA. The record is from the annotation of a GenBank genome assembly. Lineage: Eukaryota; Metazoa; Chordata; Amphibia; Anura; Pelobatidae.
GGUACCAAAUUAGGGAGCUAUCUACUAAAGAGCUGAAAGACCUAUAAUUAAGGAAAAGGUUUGUUCAUUUUAAUCUUUCAAAUGUUUGGUAGAUGGCUCCCUAAUGUGGUACC